This is a long non-coding RNA of Macaca fascicularis (crab-eating macaque), 2089 nucleotides long. The record is from Ensembl. NCBI's taxonomy places the organism in Eukaryota, Metazoa, Chordata, Mammalia, Primates, Cercopithecidae.
AGUAAAUUGUGUUAAACACUUCUAUAUUAAAUAGUAGGGGAGCUGGUUACCAGGAAGAACGAUAGAUUAAAUUGUAAUCUAGACUUCUUUUUCAAAAUUUUCUUUUUCUUUACAUUUUUCUUUUUUAACCUUGGAUAAGUCAUUAAAAAUUUCUGGGCUUAUGUUAGUUAUAUGUAAAAUAAAGGAGUUUGACUGCAUGAUAUUUUCUAUUUUUAUAACUUUUAUUUUGGUUCAGGGAUACAUGUGAAGAUUACCUAUAGAGGUAAAUUGUGUGUCACGGGGUUUUGGUGUACAGAUUAUUUCACCACCUAGGUAAUUAGUACCCAACAGGUGGCUUUUCAGUUCUCACCAUCCUCCUUCCCUCCACCUUCAAGAAGGCCCCAGUGUCUGUCGUUCCCUUCUUUGUAUCCAUGUGUUCUCAAUGUUUAGCUCCCACUUGAUAGUGAGAACAGUCUGGUGAUUUUUCAAAUAACUCAAAGCAGAAUUAUCAUUCGACCCAGCAAUCCCAUUAUUGGGUAUAUACUCAAAGGAAUCUAAAUUGUUCUACCAUAAAGAUGCAUGCAUGUGUAUAUUUACAUAACCACACUAUUCACAAUAGCAAAGAUGUGGAAUCAACCUAAAUGCCCAUCAACGGUAGACUAGAUAAAGAAAAUGUAGUACAUAUAUACCAUGGAAUACUAUGCAGACUACAUAAUGUUUAAGUUUCUUUACAUUUUUAAAAUUCUGUGAUUCUAGAAAGAAGAAUUGAGUUUUGGAGCAGAAAUUGAAAUACUUUGGGAAUUCAAAUAUGUCAACUUUCAAAGUUUCUUGAGUUUAUUUAUAUACAUUUUACAGUUUGCAUAAUGGAUUCACAUGCAUCUUUGCAUUUAUUCAUUAUAAAUGAAGCAGGGAGAGCAGGAAUUAUCUCCGAUUUGCAGGUGACUUGUUAAAUGAUUGUAUAAGAACACAGAUGGUGAGUGGCAGAUGUGGAACUUGAACCCAUUUCUGCAGAAUCUUCUUGGUUAUUCAGCAUCCAACUCUCUCUCCUAAACUUAGCAACUUUGUACUUUUUCCUGUCUCUAAAAUGCCCAGUAUUUUAUAUUGUUUCUGUUUUGUACAGUAUAACCCUGUAAAUAUACAUAGUUCAAUAUGUUAUUUGCAUUUUGAAAAAAAUAGGUGCUUAUAUGUCUAAAGUGUAAUUUGGUAUACCAUAAUUGUCAUUGAGUUUUGACAGCAGAUAAUUUAAUCUUGGUAAAUACAAUACUAUAUCCUGACACAGAUACAAAUAUGUGGGCAAGCUGGGUUGGCAAAUUUCUCAGCACUUUUCAUGUUGUUUCCAUUUCUGGAAAUAAAGUCUGAUCUGCAGGAGGGAAAAAAAUAGUCUUAUGAGAGCAGCAAUGAGAAAGUUCUGAACAGUGCAGUCCAAGAUAGACAAUAAAAUUACUGCGGUAACAUUAAUUCCAUUCCAUAGUUUAAAGAUUCAAAAAUAAUUUAAAAAAAAAAUUGUUUUCAUUGGCUGUAAAUAUAUUUCACAGAUAAGAAUAGACCCUUAAAAAUGACCUUCCCAUUUCAUGCUGUUUCUUUCAAGUCUGGCAACCAGCUUGUAGGAAAGUGCCACUUCUAAUUCAGGAUGUGAUGUGUCACUUACAGUAGCUCAUUGUCCUUCUUACCAGAAACGUUCUUCAGUCUUGGGAGGUCUGAGAGGUUGUGGUAGUUUAUUAAUUUGUUUGUCUUCAAAAAGAAGUCAUGUGAAGAGAGGAAUCCACCCAUAGAAAAAGCAAAAGAUGGCCGGGCGCAGUGGCUCACGCCUGUAAUCUCAGCACUUUGGGAGGCCGAGGUGGGGGGAUCAUGAGGUCGGGAGAUCAAGACCAUUCUGGCCAACAGGGUGAAACCCCGUCUCUACUAAAAAAAAAAAAAAAAAAAAAAAUUACCAAACAUUAGCCGGACGUGGUGGUGGGCGCCUGUAGUCCCAGCUACUGGAGAGGCUAAGGCAGGAAAAUGGUGUAAACCCGGGAGGUGGAGCUUGCAGUGAUCGGAGAUGUGCCACUGCAUUCCAGCCUGGGCGACAGACUGAUACUCCGUCUCAAAAAAAAAAAAAGAAAAAGAAAAA